AGGUGUUGUUGGGUAGGGGAGCGUUCUGUAAGCCUGUGAAGGUGUGUCGUGAGGCAUGCUGGAGGUAUCAGAAGUGCGAAUGCUGACAUAAGUAACGAUAAAGCGGGUGAAAAGCCCGCUCGCCGGAAGACCAAGGGUUCCUGUCCAACGUUAAUCGGGGCAGGGUGAGUCGACCCCUAAGGCGAGGCCGAAAGGCGUAGUCGAUGGGAAACGGGUUAAUAUUCCCGUACUUGGUGUUACUGCGAAGGGGGGACGGAGAAGGCUAUGUUGGCCGGGCGACGGUUGUCCCGGUUUAAGCGUGUAGGUGUGUGUUCCAGGUAAAUCCGGUUCACUUUAACACUGAGGCGUGAUGACGAGGCACUACGGUGCUGAAGCAACAAAUGCCCUGCUUCCAGGAAAAGCCUCUAAGCAUCAGGUAACAUCAAAUCGUACCCCAAACCGACACAGGUGGUCAGGUAGAGAAUACCAAGGCGCUUGAGAGAACUCGGGUGAAGGAACUAGGCAAAAUGGUGCCGUAACUUCGGGAGAAGGCACGCUGACACGUAGGUGAAGUGAUUUACUCAUGGAGCUGAAGUCAGUCGAAGAUACCAGCUGGCUGCAACUGUUUAUUAAAAACACAGCACUGUGCAAACACGAAAGUGGACGUAUACGGUGUGACGCCUGCCCGGUGCCGGAAGGUUAAUUGAUGGGGUCAGCGCAAGCGAAGCUCCUGAUCGAAGCCCCGGUAAACGGCGGCCGUAACUAUAACGGUCCUAAGGUAGCGAAAUUCCUUGUCGGGUAAGUUCCGACCUGCACGAAUGGCGUAAUGAUGGCCAGGCUGUCUCCACCCGAGACUCAGUGAAAUUGAACUCGCUGUGAAGAUGCAGUGUACCCGCGGCAAGACGGAAAGACCCCGUGAACCUUUACUAUAGCUUGACACUGAACAUUGAGCCUUGAUGUGUAGGAUAGGUGGGAGGCUUUGAAGCGUGGACGCCAGUCUGCGUGGAGCCGACCUUGAAAUACCACCCUUUAAUGUUUGAUGUUCUAACGUGGACCCGUGAUCCGGGUUGCGGACAGUGUCUGGUGGGUAGUUUGACUGGGGCGGUCUCCUCCUAAAGAGUAACGGAGGAGCACGAAGGUUGGCUAAUCCUGGUCGGACAUCAGGAGGUUAGUGCAAUGGCAUAAGCCAGCUUGACUGCGAGCGUGACGGCGCGAGCAGGUGCGAAAGCAGGUCAUAGUGAUCCGGUGGUUCUGAAUGGAAGGGCCAUCGCUCAACGGAUAAAAGGUACUCCGGGGAUAACAGGCUGAUACCGCCCAAGAGUUCAUAUCGACGGCGGUGUUUGGCACCUCGAUGUCGGCUCAUCACAUCCUGGGGCUGAAGUAGGUCCCAAGGGUAUGGCUGUUCGCCAUUUAAAGUGGUACGCGAGCUGGGUUUAGAACGUCGUGAGACAGUUCGGUCCCUAUCUGCCGUGGGCGCUGGAGAACUGAGGGGGGCUGCUCCUAGUACGAGAGGACCGGAGUGGACGCAUCACUGGUGUUCGGGUUGUCAUGCCAAUGGCACUGCCCGGUAGCUAAAUGCGGAAGAGAUAAGUGCUGAAAGCAUCUAAGCACGAAACUUGCCCCGA
This 1604-nucleotide ribosomal RNA is filed under the name Salmonella enterica subsp. enterica serovar Thompson. RNAcentral's name for it is "partial 23S ribosomal RNA". It matches the Rfam family "Bacterial large subunit ribosomal RNA", at positions 1216 to 2802 of the family's 2925-position model. Lineage: Bacteria; Pseudomonadati; Pseudomonadota; Gammaproteobacteria; Enterobacterales; Enterobacteriaceae. The record is from RNAcentral.